UAGUUUAAGCUUACAGUGUUCCUGAUGGGU
RNAcentral lists this non-coding RNA (30 nucleotides) under Rattus norvegicus (Norway rat). The record is from RNAcentral. Lineage: Eukaryota; Metazoa; Chordata; Mammalia; Rodentia; Muridae.